RNAcentral lists this microRNA precursor (72 nucleotides) under Myotis brandtii (Brandt's bat). RNAcentral describes it as "mir-9193 microRNA precursor family". It matches the Rfam family "mir-9193 microRNA precursor family". Lineage: Eukaryota; Metazoa; Chordata; Mammalia; Chiroptera; Vespertilionidae. The record is from Rfam by way of RNAcentral.
CACGGGUGGGGGGUCCCUCAGCCUGGAUUGUGAGAGGGUGCAGGCCAGGCAGAGGGACCCCACUGGUGCAGG